GAUCCCAGCUAAAUAUGAGGACAGCCUCAAGAUACCAGAUUCCUGCAGGAGUCAUCGUGCCCGACGGCCGGAUGGGAGAAAGACAUCAGAGAGCCUUGCUGGGCGAACACGGGCUGGCACAAACCUUCUCCGCGGUGGCCUCUCCAUGGGCCCCUCCCUUCUGCUCUGCGAGGACAUCCUGCAAGCAGCGGGCAGUCUUUCGGUGGAAGUCCUGAAGGAAGAGGUGGUGACAAACACUGCUGCAGCUUCUUCCUCGCUGAGGGACCUGCUAGAGGCAAAAGCAGGCUGAACUUCUGGCAGUGGGGACACUGCUGGCGAGGGCAAGGAGGCGGCACAGGGAGCUAUGAUCAGGCCGGUUCCUGACUCCUGCUCUUCACGACCAGCUCUUUCCAGGGGCAAUGGGGAGUUCAACUUGGACCAGGCUGUAUUUUCUUUUCCUGGUCAGAAAACAGCAGCGGGGCUCAUCUUCCACACAGUGUUGUGCAGCAGCCCUUGAAGCCAAAAGCAGCUUUGCUUGUGUGGGGUAAGCGUAAAGAGAGGCGUGGAGAAGGGAAAGCUAUUUCUUGGUGUCAGGAAGGGGGGGAAGGAGAGCAGGGAAGGAGAGACGAAAACCUUUCCUUUCUCUGCCCGCAGAUGUUGAAGUUAAUGGAGAAAUCCAAAAACGGCAGGAAGAAAAAUCUCACAACAGCUCUGCAAUGGCGAGGAGACGGGCUCCCCAGCGGCGA
Molecule: long non-coding RNA, 725 nt
Organism: Dromaius novaehollandiae (emu)
Lineage: Eukaryota; Metazoa; Chordata; Aves; Casuariiformes; Dromaiidae
Exons: 4
Source: RefSeq, a predicted model, not a curated record